CAGGCUUUUUUUCUGUCUCAUUUACUGAAUAUUCAGUUUGAAACUCUGAGUAUAAUUUAAUCGAGAAAUGUUUGAGCAUUUCUAAGUGUCUAAAUGUUUUCUAAGCAUUCAUUGACCAAACAAAGCUUAUUUUCCCCUUUAUAACAAGAUGAUCCCAAACUGGAUGACUGAAAUAAGAGCUCACAUGAGGCACUUAGUGGCUGCACCACUUUUAGGCAGCCCAGUGUAAGAGCUGAGUGAGAACACAGAACUCCUGCAGAAAUCAUCCCCUAUGUGAGAUGCUCCCAUCAAGGCUUGGAGAGAAAUAAAGGCCCAAGGCCAAGUCAGUCCUGAUCCAGAGGGAUCCAGAAGCCCAGAGUGAGGGUCUCUGUGAGGCUGAUGGGACCAGCUGAUCAGAGGCUGUGUCCUGUGUCCUGUGUCCUGGGCUGGGCACAGCCAUGUCCAGCUGGCUGCUGUGGCUGCUGGGGCGACCCUUUGUGACAGAGGCACAUUCCUUUGUGACACAGGGGCCGUGCUGUGCCCAGAGGCCACCAUGACCUCUGGGAGAGGUUUGGGGCACAGAGCCCUGGUGUGCACUGCCCAAGGGCACCUUUCUCAGGAGGCAGCAGCUGCCUGAGAGCCUCUGCAGGAAAGCAUGACAGAGACACCCAAGGGGGAGAAGAUGGACUUCAAACAGCCGCAGGUGGACCAUGGGCAGCCACAGAACGAGAAGCGCUGCCCAAAAGCUCCUCCUGAGGCACAAAAGGCAGCAAAGGCAGCAGCCCAGGUCGAGCAGGUGUCCUCAGCAGGGGCACAGAGCCAUGUCCCACUCCUGCAGAGCCCCUGCUCUGCCCCAGGCCCCUCAUCUGCCCAGGGAGCAGCACAGACCCUCAGCAGGCAGCGAGCGCUGCUGGCAGCACCAGAGCUCAGGGAGGGGGCCUGGGCCAACGAGGAGGGAAAGAGGGAAGUCUUCCAUCCCCUGCAGCCAUGCCCAGGGGAAGACCACAUGGAACAAGAGCUCUCCCAAGGGGAAGUCAGUGGAAUCCUGAACCUGCCCCAAGGGGGAAACGACAGCAGAAACGACAGCAGCAAAACAUCACUGCAUGAAAACUGGAGACGCAUCACAAUCCAGACUAUCUGGGUCAACCCCAAGUACCCAGAGCUCUUCCAGGACACCCUCCAGGAGGAGACAAAGAAAGAAACUCCUUCCUCAGACGAGCAGGUGCCAGCAGCAGGGGCACAGAGCCCUGCCCCAGACAGCCCCUGCUGCUCUCCCUGUUCCUCACGGACCCAGCUGGCAGCCCAGACCCUCAGCAACCUGCAGAGUGUCCACAGGCUGCCCUCCAGCCCCAGGCAGGCUCUGCAGGCUCUGUGCAUCCUGCUCUGGUGCUCCUGCAUGGAGUUGCAGCUGAAUGAUUAG
RNAcentral lists this long non-coding RNA (1399 nucleotides) under Cyanistes caeruleus (blue tit). RNAcentral's name for it is "lncRNA (ENSCCEG00000024066.1)". The record is from RNAcentral. Lineage: Eukaryota; Metazoa; Chordata; Aves; Passeriformes; Paridae.